This 108-nucleotide ribosomal RNA is filed under the name Aotus nancymaae (Ma's night monkey). Lineage: Eukaryota; Metazoa; Chordata; Mammalia; Primates; Aotidae. The record is from RNAcentral.
UAUGGCCACACCACCCUAAAUGCGCCCGAUCUCGUCUGAUCUCGGAAGCUAAGCAGGGUCGGGCCUGGUUAGUACUUGGAUGGGAGGAAAUACAAAUAUAUGUUAAAU